CCAGCAGCCGCGGUAAUACGGAGGGUGCGAGCGUUAAUCGGAAAUACUGGGGCGUAAAGCGUACGUAGGCGGUUAUUUAAGUCAGAUGUGAAAGCCCCGGGCUCAACCUGGGAACUGCAUUUGAUACUGGAUAACUAGAGUUUGAUAGAGGAGAGUAGAAUUUCUGGUGUAGCGGUGAAAUGCGUAGAGAUCAGAAGGAAUACCAGUGGCGAAGGCGGCUCUCUGGGUCAAAACUGACGCUGAGGUACGAAAGCGUGGGUAGCAAACAGGAUUAGAUACCCUGGUAGUCCACGCCGUAAACGAUGUCAACUAGCCGUUGGGUCCAAUUAAGGACUUAGUGGUGCAGCUAACGCAUUAAGUUGACCGCCUGGGGAGUACGGCCGCAAGGCUAAAACUCAAAUGAAUUGACGGGGGCCCGCACAAGCGGUGGAGCAUGUGGUUUAAUUCGAUGCAACGCGAAGAACCUUACCUACCCUUGACAUACUAAGAACUUUCCAGAGAUGGAUUGGUGCCUUCGGGAGCUUAGAUACAGGUGCUGCAUGGCUGUCGUCAGCUCGUGUCGUGAGAUGUUGGGUUAAGUCCCGUAACGAGCGCAACCCUUAUCCUUAUUUGCCAGCACGUAAUGGUGGGAACUCUAAGGAGACUGCCGGUGAUAAACCGGAGGAAGGUGGGGACGACGUCAAGUCAUCAUGGCCCUUAUGGGUAGGGCUACACACGUGCUACAAUGGCCGGUACAGAGGGCUGCGAACCUGCGAAGGUAAGCGAAUCUCAGAAAGCCGGUCUUAGUCCGGAUUGCAGUCUGCAACUCGACUGCAUGAAGUCGGAAUCGCUAGUAAUCGCGAAUCAGAAUGUCGCGGUGAAUACGUUCCCGGGCCUUGUACACACCGCCCGUCACACCAUGGGAGUGGGUUGCAAAAGAAGUGGGUAGACUAACCUUCGGGAGGUCGCUCACCAC
Molecule: ribosomal RNA, 955 nt
Filed under: uncultured Gammaproteobacteria bacterium
Lineage: Bacteria; Pseudomonadati; Pseudomonadota; Gammaproteobacteria
Description: bacterial SSU rRNA
Rfam family: Bacterial small subunit ribosomal RNA
Source: RNAcentral